Molecule: ribosomal RNA, 371 nt
Filed under: uncultured bacterium
Lineage: Bacteria
Description: bacterial SSU rRNA
Rfam family: Bacterial small subunit ribosomal RNA
Source: RNAcentral
AGAGGUGGCAAGCGUUGUUCGGAAUUACUGGGCGUAAAGGGCGCGUAGGCGGCCUCGCAAGUCCCGUGUGAAAUCCCUCGGCUCAACUGAGGAAUGGCACGGGAAACUGCGGGGCUUGAGUUCGGGAGAGGGAAGCGGAAUUCCGGGUGUAGCGGUGAAAUGCGUAGAUAUCCGGAGGAACACCGGUGGCGAAGGCGGCUUCCUGGACCGAUACUGACGCUGAGGCGCGAAAGCUAGGGGAGCAAACGGGAUUAGAUACCCCGGUAGUCCUAGCUGUAAACGAUGAGCGCUGGGUGUAGGGGGUCUUAACCCCCCCUGUGCCGAAGCUAACGCAUCAAGCGCUCCGCCUGGGGAGUACGGUCGCAAGGCUG